AUACGGAGGGGGCUAGCGUUGUUCGGAUUUACUGGGCGUAAAGCGCGCGUAGGCGGUAUAUCAAGUUAGGCGUGAAAGCCCCGGGCUCAACCCGGGAACUGCGCUUAUUACUGAUAAACUAGAGUCCGGGAGAGGGUGGCGGAAUUCCCAGUGUAGAGGUGAAAUUCGUAGAUAUUGGGAAGAACACCAGUUGCGAAGGCGGCCACCUGGACCGGUACUGACGCUGAGGUGCGAAAGCGUGGGGAGCAAACAGGAUUAGAAACCCUAGUAGUCC
This 274-nucleotide ribosomal RNA is filed under the name uncultured bacterium. Its description in RNAcentral is "partial 16S ribosomal RNA". It matches the Rfam family "Bacterial small subunit ribosomal RNA", at positions 523 to 796 of the family's 1533-position model. The record is from RNAcentral.